Molecule: ribosomal RNA, 324 nt
Filed under: uncultured eukaryote
Lineage: Eukaryota
Description: partial 18S ribosomal RNA
Rfam family: Eukaryotic small subunit ribosomal RNA
Source: RNAcentral
CCCUUAGAUGUUCUGGGCCGCACGCGCGCUACACUGAUGCAUUCAACGAGUUUCUUCCUGGUCCGAGAGGAAUGGGUAACCUUUUGAAAGUGCAUCGUGAUAGGGAUAGACUAUUGCAAUUAUUGGUCUUCAACGAGGAAUUCCUAGUAGACGUAGUUCAUCAGACUGCAUCGAUUACGUCCCUGCCCUUUGUACACACCGCCCGUCGCUCCUACCGAUUGAAUGCUCAGGUGAGCCAUUCGGACUUUCCUCAUGCUGGUUUCCAGUUUUGAUGAAGGAAAGUCUUGCGAACCUUAUCAUUUAGAGGAAGGAGAAGUCGUAACA